AAACUACUCCCUCCGUUUCAAAUUACUCGUCGCUGAAAUGGAUGUAUCUUGAACUAAAAUACAUCUAGAUACAUCCAUACGUGCGACAAGUAAUUCGGAACGGAGGGAGUAGAAA
Molecule: non-coding RNA, 115 nt
Organism: Triticum aestivum (bread wheat)
Lineage: Eukaryota; Viridiplantae; Streptophyta; Magnoliopsida; Poales; Poaceae
Source: Rfam